UCCGUAGGUGAACCUGCGGAAGGAUCAUUAGUAAAGUCACGGGGAAACCCCCUGAAAAGGGUCUCCCCGACCUUACCGAAACCCCAUCCAUGUUGCUUUCCCGGGUCGAGGGUCGGUUCUCGGUAACCGUCCUCCCCCGGGGUUUGGCCACGAAGAAAACCUUUUUUAUAAACUGUCGUCUGAAAGGGCGUUCGGCCUGAAAACGAAAACAAGUUAAAACUUUCAACAACGGAUCUCUUGGUUCUCGCAUCGAUGAAGAACGCAGCGAAAUGCGAUAAGUAAUGUGAAUUGCAGAAUUCAGUGAAUCAUCGAAUCUUUGAACGCACAUUGCGCCCUCCGGUAUUCCGGGGGGCAUGCCUGUUCGAGCGUCACAAAAGCCAAUCUCACACUAGUUGUGGUCAUGGUGGAUGUGCGAGGGGCGGACCCCUAACCGGGCCGUACCUGCACACCGCUGAAAUCCAAUGGCGGGCCGCCUCCGGGAACCUGACGUAGUAAGCACAACUCUCGUCGUGUUCACCCGGAUGGAAAGCUGCCCUGCCCUUUGAACCCCCGAUACAUUCUGGUUGACCUCGGAUCAGGUAGGGAUACCCGCUGAACUUAAGCAUAUCAAUAAGGCGGGAGGGGGAAGGUCGGAUGGCCAAGGGCACACAGGGGGGAUA
Molecule: ribosomal RNA, 659 nt
Filed under: uncultured fungus
Lineage: Eukaryota; Fungi
Description: eukaryotic LSU rRNA
Rfam family: 5.8S ribosomal RNA (bases 218-371)
Source: RNAcentral